GAUGAACGCUAGCUACAGGCUUAACACAUGCAAGUCGAGGGGAAACGGCAUUGAGUGCUUGCACUCUUUGGACGUCGACCGGCGCACGGGUGAGUAACGCGUAUCCAACCUUCCCAUUACUGUGGGAUAACCUGCCGAAAGGCAGACUAAUACCGCAUAGUCUUCGAUGACGGCAUCAGAUUUGAAGUAAAGAUUUAUCGGUAAUGGAUGGGGAUGCGUCUGAUUAGCUUGUUGGUGGGGUAACGGCCCACCAAGGCAACGAUCAGUAGGGGUUCUGAGAGGAAGGUCCCCCACAUUGGAACUGAGACACGGUCCAAACUCCUACGGGAGGCAGCAGUGAGGAAUAUUGGUCAAUGGACGGAAGUCUGAACCAGCCAAGUAGCGUGCAGGAUGACGGCCCUAUGGGUUGUAAACUGCUUUUGUAUGGGGAUAAAGUUAGGGACGUGUCCCUAUUUGCAGGUACCAUACGAAUAAGGACCGGCUAAUUCCGUGCCAGCAGCCGCGGUAAUACGGAAGGUCCAGGCGUUAUCCGGAUUUAUUGGGUUUAAAGGGAGCGUAGGCUGGAGAUUAAUUGGGUGUGAGAUGUAGACGCUCAACGUCUGACUUGCAUCGCAUACUGGUUGCCUUGAGUACGCACAACUUUGGCUGAAAUUCGUCGUGGAGCGGUGAAAUGCUUAGAUAUUGACGAAUACUCCCAAUGGUGAGGCUGCUGACUGGGAGCGCGACUGACUCUUAAGCGCGAAGGUCGGGUAUCGAACAGU
RNAcentral lists this ribosomal RNA (761 nucleotides) under Prevotella melaninogenica. Its description in RNAcentral is "bacterial SSU rRNA". It matches the Rfam family "Bacterial small subunit ribosomal RNA", at positions 28 to 776 of the family's 1533-position model. The record is from RNAcentral. Lineage: Bacteria; Pseudomonadati; Bacteroidota; Bacteroidia; Bacteroidales; Prevotellaceae.